CAGAGACACACUCGGACUCUAACCCCUCCAUGUUCCUGUCAGAUCACUCUUCUUACCUGUUGUUAGCUGUAGCGCUAAUCCGGCGCUCGUGAGCGUUAGCAUCGUGCCGCCUUCCCGACAGGUGAGUGUUUGUUGUUAGCACGAGGACUUCCUGUUUCCUUUAAAGGUGCUGAACUUUAAUGUUUAAUGUUUUCAUGCGCGAAUGUUUCCUAAUAUAACAGGACUUGAAAUAAGAACAGCAGCUAACGUCACAGCGGGGUGACGCAGCUCAAGGAAGAACAUUUAUGAUAAUUUCUUUAUCAUUUGAAGUAAUAAUCACCAUAUUAAUCAUUUUACAGACGCGGUAGUUCUUCUGUCUCAUUGUCUCAGUCUGAUCAUAAAUGUUCUUCCUCGAGCUGUGUCACCCCGCUGUGACGUUAGCUGCUGUUCUGAUGCGUUUUGUUUGAGGUUUGAAGAGACAAGUUUUCAUUUUCAUUCAGUUAAUAUUUAAAACUUUUAAUACAAAGAAGUAAAAAUCUCAAACAUGUGACUGAAAAGGAGCAGAAAGAAGAAAACUCUCAGAGUCUGAACCUCUUUAUUUUCAUCAACUAAACACAGAAUAAUGAAAAUAAACGACAUGUUUUUUUAUUAUUUCUGAUUAUUAAACAGAAAAGAUUCACGUUAAUUCACAGUCUCCCAUGAAACAAACAGACACAGACUUAGAUGAACAUGUUUCCCUGUUUUUUCUCCACAUACUGACUUUUUUGACUCUGUUUAAAGAUCAACUUUGAUUUCUCUUCUUUAGUUUCUUUGUUCAGAUUGUUCCAGUCUUCUUCCUCUCUCUGUAACUCAGCGCUCCGUCACUUUAGUUCUGAAUCUUUUUAAAUAUUUCAAAUCCUUUUAAAAAGGAUUUUUUGUUUUAUUGAACUCCUCUCUGCUGGAGAAGUGAAGGAACCACAGAGGGACCUGAAGGCCGUCAGGAGGUCAGAAACACUGAACAUGAGCGGGAAACGAAGGAGCUGAAACUUCUGAACACAGACGGUGAAAAAGUGACUCUCACAGCGGAGGAGGAGGAGGAUUGAUGACUGAUCAGCUGUUCGAGUGUUUCAGGUGGUUUUAAUAAUAUUGAGACUUUCACAGAGUUCUGGUUCUGGAUCGCUCAGACGGAGGAGGUGGAGGUGUCUCCACCGUUUCUCGAAGGCAGCCCAAUGUUUGCGUGGAGAAGCGACUCCUAAACUAAUUAUAACCCGGAUGGAGUAUUUUUGAGGAGAAAGACUCGAUCUGAGCUCCGUCCUCCUGGCCGCUGCACCUCCCUUUUAAUUGGCUGUCAAAAAUAACCCGGGCUCAUCCUCGGAGCGGGGAACCCAGGGGAUGGAGCCGCCACGUGCACGUGGUGAAGGGCUCUGCGUGGGCCUCUGAGCGGCCGUGCGACCUCUGCUUCACUGCAGUACUCUCUCUCUCUCUCCUGGUGUGGGCUGCUUCUCCAUCUUUAUGUAAAACCUAUGUGGGAGGGGAGCACAGAGGAG
Xyrichtys novacula (pearly razorfish) is the source of this 1505-nucleotide non-coding RNA. The record is from the annotation of a GenBank genome assembly. NCBI's taxonomy places the organism in Eukaryota, Metazoa, Chordata, Actinopteri, Labriformes, Labridae.